RNAcentral lists this ribosomal RNA (465 nucleotides) under uncultured bacterium. RNAcentral describes it as "partial 16S ribosomal RNA". It matches the Rfam family "Bacterial small subunit ribosomal RNA", at positions 31 to 507 of the family's 1533-position model. The record is from RNAcentral.
GAACGCUGGCGGCGUGCUUAACACAUGCAAGUCGAACGGAAAGGCCCUGCUUUUGUGGGGUGCUCGAGUGGCGAACGGGUGAGUAACACGUGAGUAACCUGCCCUUGACUUUGGGAUAACUUCAGGAAACUGGGGCUAAUACCGGAUAGGAGCUCCUGCUGCAUGGUGGGGGUUGGAAAGUUUCGGCGGUUGGGGAUGGACUCGCGGCUUAUCAGCUUGUUGGUGGGGUAGUGGCUUACCAAGGCUUUGACGGGUGGCCGGCCUGAGAGGGUGACCGGCCACAUUGGGACUGAGAUACGGCCCAGACUCCUACGGGAGGCAGCAGUGGGGAAUAUUGCACAAUGGGCGGAAGCCUGAUGCAGCAACGCCGCGUGCGGGAUGACGGCCUUCGGGUUGUAAACCGCUUUCGCCUGUGACGAAGCGUGAGUGACGGUAAUGGGUAAAGAAGCACCGGCUAACUACGUG